UUAUAGUGUAGUAUACCACAGCAUGGUAUAGUAUAGUACAGUACAUUAUAGUGUAAUACACCACAGCAUGGUAUAGUACAGUACAGUACAUUAUAGUGUAGUACUGUACAGUACAGCAUGCUAUAAUAUAGUACAGUAUAGUAGAGUACUGUAUAAUAAAGUAUAGGACAGCAUAGUAUAGGACAACAUAUAGCAUAGUAUAUUAUGGUUAGAUAAAGUAGCUAUAGUGUAGCAUGGUACAGUUCAGUAUAGUGUAGUAUAGUAUAGUACAUAAAAUAUACACAGUAUAUCAUAAUACAGUUUAGUAUAGUAUACUAUAGUAAAUAUAAUGGCCAUAUAGUACAGUAUAGAAGAGUACAGCAUGGUAUAGUAUGGUACAGUACAUUAUAGUAUAGUAUAGUAUAGUAUAAUACAGCAUUCUCAGAUCUUCACCAAAAUCACACCGUGCCUUAAAGCACUCAAGACUAACACAGUAGUGCAGUUAGUUUCAUCCCAACACACUCCAAAGUCUAGAUAUAGUGCAGUGUAUUUAAUUAUAGUGUAGUAUAUUACAAUACAGUAUAGUAGUGUAGUAAUGUAGUGUAGU
Molecule: long non-coding RNA, 586 nt
Organism: Ictalurus punctatus (channel catfish)
Lineage: Eukaryota; Metazoa; Chordata; Actinopteri; Siluriformes; Ictaluridae
Source: Ensembl